RNAcentral lists this long non-coding RNA (1697 nucleotides) under Arachis ipaensis. Its description in RNAcentral is "long non-coding RNA (AIPA_LNC000606)". Lineage: Eukaryota; Viridiplantae; Streptophyta; Magnoliopsida; Fabales; Fabaceae. The record is from RNAcentral.
AAUCAAUGACACCUAAUGAAGCAUUAGCCACCACAAAUUAUCCAUUCAUUCCUAUCAGCCUUAACACUAUCAUUUCUUUACUCUCACCACCGAAUUGAACUUGGCAAAAAAAAGAAGAAAGAAAGGCCGAGAGAGAAUGUGAGCUUUCAUGGAAACCAUGAGUUUUUAGCUUCAAUUUCUUGUGAUCCGUAACUCUAAUAAAAAAUCUAAUCCGAUAAAAGUGUUUGUAUCUUUCCCUUGAGUUCGGCCAACUGGAGUUCUAGGAGGCACAUAUGAUUUCUGACGCUUUCCUCUUCAACAGCUCGAUAAAAAAGUUUCUCCAAAGUUUUCGUUGAUUUUGAUUUCGUAUGAAGGUAGGGGAUUUAUUUUUAAAGAUAAACGUUUUUAAUUUAGAAUGCCUACAAAAUUAAUUGAAUAAUUACAAAUAUAUCUAUAUAUAUAUAUUAAUAAUAGUAAUGUUAUUGAGUAUGGAUUAUUGCUGUGAAUGUGACUGUUUUCUGAUUAUUAAGAAUUUCGCUGAUUUGAGAAUUGUUGAGAAAAAGGCUGGUGAAUUGUUGAGGAAUAGGGAACCCGUAAGGGUGGUUUAGACUGAAUUUUAGAGAAAAUACCGCCAAAAUUUUAUAAAAUCUGAGGUUUUAUUUGAAAAGUUAUUUUAAAAGAUUUGGUUUUGAAAAAUUAAAUUAUUUAAAAUAUAUUUAGUUAAGAAAAGAUUUACUCUAUUUUAAAGUUUGAUUUAUUAAGAAAAAUAUAAUGUUUUAAACCCAAUCUUUUAAGGAGAGAUUUUGUUUUAAGUAAAGAUUUGAGCUCGGUUUAUUAAGAAAAGGAAUCUCUGUCACAGGAGAGCAGAGAACAAGGAUUUAAAGAAUAUAUUAAUUAAUGAAGUGUCUGCCAUAGGAGAGCAGAUGUGAUAUUGUUUGGGCCUUAGUGCCAAAUGUAAAGUGGGGACGCCCACACACUGAGAACUGUUUUCCAGAUGUAAGCUUAUUGAUUUGGAAAGUCACACUGAUGCGGCCUAGCCGUACGACUUAUAAGCACACUGAUGCAUCUGGAAAGCCAUACCUGGGACUUGUGCCUGGGUAAUGUCGGGAGCGGGUAGGCAACCGACACAUGAGCUCAUGGCCUGCGUUAGGAAUAGACAUGCAUCAUGUUGUUUGCACAUUUGCAUUUGAUUGCGCUUGCUUGUCUUAUUACUUUGUGAUUGUAUUGUUUGUCUUGUUGUGACUUGCUUGUACAUUGAAUUGAAUCUCUUACUUGCACUACUUGUUUGUAAGUGUAUUAAAGUGAUUACAAGUUGACAUUUGACUGAAGAUUAACUAUGUGGCUGAGAGACAGAAAAUGUGACUAAUUUUAUAUUUAAGUUUUGAUUUGAGUUUAGAGUUUUUUUAAAAAAAGAGGUAAUUUGUUAGCUAAAGUAGAACAAAAGGGUUUGAUAAAAAUAUAUUUUUAUUGAGCAAAGUUAAUUAUUUGCAUUUUAAUCCAUUACUUUUACGGCAUUCCCAUUGCCUACUGAGAACGUGUGGUUUGUUCUCACCCCAAAAUUUCCACCCUUUCAGUGACACAGGUUCGGAGAUUCAGUAAGAAGCUGCAGACGACUAGUAGAUUUACUUGUGAUUCCUGUUGUUUUUAUAGAGUUCCCUCGUCCUUGUUGCUUUAGGAUUUUUUUUAUUUUAUGCAGAUGGAUAGGUAUUGUAUUUGAG